Molecule: ribosomal RNA, 497 nt
Filed under: uncultured bacterium
Lineage: Bacteria
Description: bacterial SSU rRNA
Rfam family: Bacterial small subunit ribosomal RNA
Source: RNAcentral
GAUGAACGCUGGCGGCGUGCCUAACACAUGCAAGUCGAACGAGAAGCUAACUUCUGAUUCCUUCGGGAUGAUGAGGUCAGCAGAAAGUGGCGAACGGGUGAGUAACGCGUGGGUAAUCUACCCUGUUGAGUGGGGGAUAACCCUCCGAAAGGAGGGCUAAUACCGCAUAACAUCUUCUUCCCAAAAGAGAGGAAGAUUAAAGAUGGCCUCUAUACUAUGCUAUCGCUUCAGGAUGAGCCUGCGUCCUAUUAGUUAGUUGGUGGGGUAAUGGCCUACCAAGACCACAAUGGGUAGCCGGUCUGAGAGGAUGUACGGCCACACUGGGACUGAGAUACGGCCCAGACUCCUACGGGAGGCAGCAGUGGGGAAUAUUGCGCAAUGGGGGAAACCCUGACGCAGCGACGCCGCGUGGAUGAUGAAGGCCUUUGGGUUGUAAAAUCCUGUUUUGGGGGAAGAAACCUUAAGGGUCCAAUAAGCCCUUAAGCUGACGGUACCCC